AUGCUGACAUAAGUAACGAUAAAGCGGGUGAAAAGCCCGCUCGCCGGAAGACCAAGGGUUCCUGUCCAACGUUAAUCGGGGCAGGGUGAGUCGACCCCUAAGGCGAGGCCGAAAGGCGUAGUCGAUGGGAAACAGGUUAAUAUUCCUGUACUUGGUGUUACUGCGAAGGGGGGACGGAGAAGGCUAUGUUGGCCGGGCGACGGUUGUCCCGGUUUAAGCGUGUAGGCUGGUUUUCCAGGCAAAUCCGGAAAAUCAAGGCUGAGGCGUGAUGACGAGGCACUACGGUGCUGAAGCAACAAAUGCCCUGCUUCCAGGAAAAGCCUCUAAGCAUCAGGUAACAUCAAAUCGUACCCCAAACCGACACAGGUGGUCAGGUAGAGAAUACCAAGGCGCUUGAGAGAACUCGGGUGAAGGAACUAGGCAAAAUGGUGCCGUAACUUCGGGAGAAGGCACGCUGAUAUGUAGGUGAAGUCCCUCGCGGAUGGAGCUGAAAUCAGUCGAAGAUACCAGCUGGCUGCAACUGUUUAUUAAAAACACAGCACUGUGCAAACACGAAAGUGGACGUAUACGGUGUGACGCCUGCCCGGUGCCGGAAGGUUAAUUGAUGGGGUUAGCGCAAGCGAAGCUCUUGAUCGAAGCCCCGGUAAACGGCGGCCGUAACUAUAACGGUCCUAAGGUAGCGAAAUUCCUUGUCGGGUAAGUUCCGACCUGCACGAAUGGCGUAAUGAUGGCCAGGCUGUCUCCACCCGAGACUCAGUGAAAUUGAACUCGCUGUGAAGAUGCAGUGUACCCGCGGCAAGACGGAAAGACCCCGUGAACCUUUACUAUAGCUUGACACUGAACAUUGAGCCUUGAUGUGUAGGAUAGGUGGGAGGCUUUGAAGUGUGGACGCCAGUCUGCAUGGAGCCGACCUUGAAAUACCACCCUUUAAUGUUUGAUGUUCUAACGUGGACCCGUAAUCCGGGUUGCGGACAGUGUCUGGUGGGUAGUUUGACUGGGGCGGUCUCCUCCUAAAGAGUAACGGAGGAGCACGAAGGUUGGCUAAUCCUGGUCGGACAUCAGGAGGUUAGUGCAAUGGCAUAAGCCAGCUUGACUGCGAGCGUGACGGCGCGAGCAGGUGCGAAAGCAGGUCAUAGUGAUCCGGUGGUUCUGAAUGGAAGGGCCAUCGCUCAACGGAUAAAAGGUACUCCGGGGAUAACAGGCUGAUACCGCCCAAGAGUUCAUAUCGACGGCGGUGUUUGGCACCUCGAUGUCGGCUCAUCACAUCCUGGGGCUGAAGUAGGUCCCAAGGGUAUGGCUGUUCGCCAUUUAAAGUGGUACGCGAGCUGGGUUUAGAACGUCGUGAGACAGUUCGGUCCCUA
This 1361-nucleotide ribosomal RNA is filed under the name Escherichia coli. RNAcentral describes it as "partial 23S ribosomal RNA". It matches the Rfam family "Bacterial large subunit ribosomal RNA", at positions 1294 to 2640 of the family's 2925-position model. The record is from RNAcentral. Lineage: Bacteria; Pseudomonadati; Pseudomonadota; Gammaproteobacteria; Enterobacterales; Enterobacteriaceae.